Molecule: non-coding RNA, 74 nt
Organism: Aspergillus flavus NRRL3357
Lineage: Eukaryota; Fungi; Ascomycota; Eurotiomycetes; Eurotiales; Aspergillaceae
Source: Rfam
GGUCCUGUAGCUCAGUCGGUUAGAGCGUGGUGCUAAUAACGCCAAGGUCGCGAGUUCGACCCUCGUCGGGAUCA